CCCUCAUACCACCCUAACUCAUGUCAUGUAAGGCUUAAGUUUCAGGCCAGGAGCUUCUAUUGAGUGCCAGUUAAUACAUGUUAAUAUGAAACAUGAGUAAUUGUUGAUGAUUUCUCUUACCCUUUUUCAAAAAAUCCUCUCCAUUCUCUCUGUACUUCUAGUCUUCUCUCUCUUCCUGAUUCUACCACGUUUGUCUCCCAACCUAUACAGUUAAAUAGCUCGGACUCAGGAGAACUGUACUUUCUUAAGUUGGAUUGUAUUUCUUUUUUUUAAUCCUGUGGGAAUUGGAAAAUACCCAUGUGUUCUCAAACUUUCUCUAAAGACCCAAAAUAUAUAAAUGUGAGCAGUAAUCUCAAACCAUAAUUUGCCAUGCAGUUCCAUUUGAUCUCAGCAGAGAGAAAGAAAUACUGUUCUCCUAGGUCCACUUCCCUGAGGAGUGGCCCAGUGAUCUGUGCUAGAAACCACCAUCUCCUUGACUACAGGGGUCAUGUACAAAGAAAACAUAUUUCUUUUCAGCUUUCCUCCACAAGUUGAAAGAUAGGUUUUACAUUAGAAUCUAAUGUAACACUGUUGGGGGCCUAUAAUAAAUUAAAAAGUUGGCAAAUAGGAUUUGCAAGUAAGUUUUCCAUCCCUUUAGUUUCACAUUUUUCCCUGACACUUGACUUUUCAGCGUCCCGAAGUGUCUUUCACUGUUGGGUUUUCCCUGGAUGCUGUGAGUUAAUGUAGAAAUGAUCUAAGAAGCAAUAUGACAUCGUGGUUAGCAGCAGGGGUUGGUAAACUUGUUCUGUAAAAGGCAAAUAAUAAACUGUUUUUGCUUUAUGAGUCAUACUCCCUGUUGCAACUACCCAGCUGUCAGUAGUGAAGAAUAAUGAUAGACAAUAUGUAAAUAAAUGAGUAUGGCUCUGUUUCUGUGGAACUUUUUACUGAAAUAGGUGAGGGGCUGCAUUUGGCUCACAGGAUGUAGUUUGGUGCUCCCCGAUUAAGACUGCAGGUUUUGCAGCCAGCUUGCCCGUUCUGGCUCUUUUCCUCACUUCCUAGAUCCACAAUGUUAGUUUUGUGAGAGGAAGACAUGAUAGCAGAGCCAGCUGCCAAGCUGCUAGGAUGGCCUUGGAGUCAGACAAUUCAUCCUAUCUCUGGUGCUCAUUAUGAGAAGGAAGACCAGACCUGAGGCCCAGGGCUCCCAGCUUCCCACCCGUAUUUUAAAUGGAAGAGCCUAGCUUCUAACUGAUCUUGGUCUACCAGUCUAGUUCCUGCACUACGUUUGGACAAAGGGUUUUGUGAAGCAAAUAAACAAGUAAAUAAAUAAACUUUAAAACUGCUGGUUUAAUGUAAUCCACAACUCAGUCAUAGAAAAAAUACUUUUUGGUACCUGCUUUAUGCUUUUUCUCAAUAUUGAGGAUUUCAAGGCAAGGUAAGUCCUUGCCCUCAUGGCUCUCAUAUUCAAGUAGAGAGACAGGAAUUAAACUAGCAAACAAGUUGAUAUAGAGAUAAAUGAGAACAACAAUAGUAUAAGUUAAACAGAGAGUUAAAAUCAGGCAAGAUACCUUACAUGGUACAGCUGAAUGAUGGCCUUCAAAAGGAUAUUUAAGUUCUGACCCCUGGAACCUGUGCAUAUUACCUUAUAUGGCAGCAAGAUAUAAUUAAGAAUCUUGGAAGAAGGAGACUAUCCCAGAUUGUGCUGGUGAGCCUUAAAUGCAAUCACAUGCAUCCUUUUAAGACAGGAGCAGAUCUGGGAGCUCACAUCAGCAAGAUGGCCACUAGAGUUACCUGGCAUUCGUCCUCCCCACAAAAAGGGACAAAGACAAUAAAUAAACAACUGUAGUUUGACCAGAGUGACUGAGGAAGUAUAUUGGAGAGCACCAAAGGAGUGGGAAAAUCCUAGUGGAGCAUGGACUCCCAAAAUAGCACCAUAGAAAAAGGAGCGAAUUAUCUUGCAUCUACCACAUUGUCUCCCCCAUUGGGAUCAGUGUGGAGACAUGGGGGAUUUCUUCUUUCAGGGAAAAGGUAAGCUGGAGACCUCUAGCAGUUCUCAUAGCCACUACAGAUGCCAGUGGUCUUUGCUAUAGGAGCAUCCCCAGUCUUCAUGGGCUCUGAAUCCAGUUAACAAAGUUGCUAGGAGUUCAUGCAGAUGCAUUGCCCCAGAGUAGGAGCCUAGGUGAUGCACCACCCCCCACCAACCCCAUGAGCUAGGCUGCUGCAGCGUGGUGCCAUCUUGAAACCAGACCCACUGCCACAAUGUGUUCUGACCUGGGUGCCAGCACUGCUGCUGUCUCCAUUCUUGAGACCUUGCCAUCAUUUCAUCAUAUUCAU
Molecule: long non-coding RNA, 2310 nt
Organism: Sapajus apella (tufted capuchin)
Lineage: Eukaryota; Metazoa; Chordata; Mammalia; Primates; Cebidae
Exons: 3
Source: RefSeq, a predicted model, not a curated record